Molecule: ribosomal RNA, 492 nt
Filed under: Paracoccus sp. (in: a-proteobacteria)
Lineage: Bacteria; Pseudomonadati; Pseudomonadota; Alphaproteobacteria; Rhodobacterales; Paracoccaceae
Description: bacterial SSU rRNA
Rfam family: Bacterial small subunit ribosomal RNA
Source: RNAcentral
CCCUUUGCUACGGAAUAGUCCCGGGAAACUGGGUUUAAUACCGUAUACGCCCUUCGGGGGAAAGAUUUAUCGGCAAAGGAUCGGCCCGCGUUGGAUUAGGUAGUUGGUGGGGUAAUGGCCUACCAAGCCGACGAUCCAUAGCUGGUUUGAGAGGAUGAUCAGCCACACUGGGACUGAGACACGGCCCAGACUCCUACGGGAGGCAGCAGUGGGGAAUCUUAGACAAUGGGGGCAACCCUGAUCUAGCCAUGCCGCGUGAGUGAUGAAGGCCUUAGGGUUGUAAAGCUCUUUCAGCUGGGAAGAUAAUGACGGUACCAGCAGAAGAAGCCCCGGCUAACUCCGUGCCAGCAGCCGCGGUAAUACGGAGGGGGCUAGCGUUGUUCGGAAUUACUGGGCGUAAAGCGCACGUAGGCGGAUUGGAAAGUUGGGGGUGAAAUCCCGGGGCUCAACCUCGGAACUGCCUCCAAAACUAUCAGUCUAGAGUUCGAGAGA